AGUGAACGCUGGCGGUAGGCCUAACACAUGCAAGUCGAACGGCAGCACAGUAAGAGCUUGCUCUUACGGGUGGCGAGUGGCGGACGGGUGAGGAAUACAUCGGAAUCUACUUUUUCGUGGGGGAUAACGUAGGGAAACUUACUCUAAUACCGCAUACGACCUACGGGGGAAAGCAGGGGAUCUUCGGACCUUGCGCGAUUGAAUGAGCCGAUGUCGGAUUAGCUAGUUGGCGGGGUAAAGGCCCACCAAGGCGACGAUCCGUAGCUGGUCGGAGAGGAGGGUCGGCCACCUGGGAACGUGAACACGGACAAGAGUACUACGGGAGGCAGCAGUGUGGAAUAUUAGACAACGGGCGCAAGCAUGAUCCAGCCAUCCCGCGUGUGUGAAGAAGGCGUUCGGGGUGUAAAGCCCUUUUUUUGGGAAAGAAAAGCAGCAGGUUAAUACCACGCUGUUCUGACGGUACCCAAAGAAUAAGCACCGGCUAACUUCGUG
Molecule: ribosomal RNA, 492 nt
Filed under: uncultured bacterium
Lineage: Bacteria
Description: partial 16S ribosomal RNA
Rfam family: Bacterial small subunit ribosomal RNA
Source: RNAcentral